RNAcentral lists this long non-coding RNA (454 nucleotides) under Bos indicus x Bos taurus (hybrid cattle). Its description in RNAcentral is "lncRNA (ENSBIXG00005018814.1)". Lineage: Eukaryota; Metazoa; Chordata; Mammalia; Artiodactyla; Bovidae. The record is from RNAcentral.
UGACCUUUUAAAUAGUUUAGAAAUCUAAUGUUUAUGUUACAUCAAAUUUUUCAUAGACCUCACCUCUGAAGACACAGAACUUCCUGCCAGCUCCCGAAACACCCUUGGAAGUGGUGGGCAUCAUGACUCACGGUCAGAUGAGGAAGGAGGAGAUGAGAGAACAUGUGGAAUGAAGGAUGGAAAGGAGAACCAACAAGAUGAAGGGAACUGGUAUUAGGAAAAGGCAGUGGCUGGAGCACGCUGAGGCUAGAAGAGUUGCCCCACAAGCCUGGGAAGCAUUUUGGAGCAGAGCCCACAGCCACUCACAUGAAAAAAAGCCCAGUUUUGAAAUAACUCAUUCUUGAUCUCUUCAUUAUACCAAGCUGCUCACCUAACUCAUUCAUACGGACUCCAAAACCAGUAAGAGCUAACAAUUCUUUAACAUUUUUUUGGAGGGUUUUUUCAUUGUUUUAUA